This is a long non-coding RNA of Gopherus flavomarginatus (Mexican gopher tortoise), 3286 nucleotides long. RefSeq lists it as uncharacterized. The record is from RefSeq and is a predicted model, not a curated record. The transcript is spliced from 3 exons. Lineage: Eukaryota; Metazoa; Chordata; Testudines; Testudinidae.
GGCCGGGAGGGAUCCGCUCUGGGUGGCCACGUGACGGCAGCGAAGAGCGCGCGCGAGAGCUGGUUCAUCCGGGUACCUUCGUGGCGGCGGCGGAGGAGGUACACUUCAGUGCCACAAAACUAACCAACAAGACUUGGCACAUCAUGGAAUUCUAAUGGGUAGUUAAGCAAAGUUCCAGCUCGGUUGACAGGAUAGAUCCCGGUAGGAAUCCUGUAUCUUAAUGGACUCCGAAGACAACACCACUGGGCAAUGAAGAGAAGAAGAUUCUGAUGGAUGAGGCUGUAUAAUGAAGCAUGAUGUUGAUCUCUGGUUCAUGCUGACCACAAAGCCUAGCUGAAAUCAUUAUUUUGCUCUCUGCCAGCUGCCACAUACAAUCUUCCUACCUGCUUGGACAACCUUUGAAUACAGCAGGAAUUUAUCUCCAGAGUUAGGGGUGUCAGUCUGGACCCUGGAGAUAAGUUAAUACACCUUUACCCCGAUAGAACGCGACCCAAUAUAACACGAAUUCGGAUAAAAUGCAGUAAAGCAGCGGGGAGCUCCGGGCCCUUUAAAGCACCAUCUGAGCCCUGCUGCUUUACCACAUUCUAUCCGAAUGGUGGACCACAAGCUAAAUAUGAGUCAACAUUGUGAUGCUGUUGCAAAAAAAAGCAAACGUGAUUCUGGGAUUCAUUAACAGGUGUGUUGUGAGCAGGACAGGAGAAGUCAUUCUUCUACUCUACUCUUCACGGGUUAGGCCUCAACUGGAGUAUUGUGUCCAGUUCUGGGCAUCGCAUUUCAAGAAAGAUGUGGAGAAAUUGGAGAGAGUCCAGAGAAGAGCAACAAGAAUGAUUAAAGGUCUUGAGAACAUGACCUAUGAAGGAAGGCUGAAAGAAUGGGGUUUGUUUAGUUUGGAAAAGAGAAGACUGAGAGGGGACAUGAUAGCAGUUCUUAGGUAUCUAAAAGGGUGUCAUCAGGAGGAGGGAGAAAACUUGUUCACCUUAGCCUCUAAUGAUAGAAAAAGAAGCAAUGGGCUUAAACUGCAGCAAGGGAGGUUUAGGUUGGACAUUAGGAAAAAGUUCCUAACUGUCAGGGUAGUUAAACACUGGAAUAAAUUGCCUAGAGAGACUGUGGAAUCUCCAUCUGUGGAGAUAUUUAAGAGUAGGUUAGAUAAAUGUCUAUUCGAGAUGAUCUAGGCAGUAUUUGGUCCUGCCAUGAGGGCAGGGGACUGGACUCUAUGACCUCUUGAGGUCCCUUCCAGUCUUAGAAUCUAUGAAUUCAUGUGGAGUACCAGGCCUUUUAAAUCCCUGCCAGGGCGCUGGCAGCCAGGUUCAGGUGGUGAUUUAAAGGGCCAGAGGCUCCAGCCACUGCGGGGAGCCCCGGGCCCUUUAAAUCACUGCCGGGGAAGCUGGUCCAGUCCCGAUAUAACACGGUCUCACCUAUAAGGCGGUGAGAUUUUUUGGCUCCCGAGGACCACAUUAUUUCAAGGUAGAAGUGUAGUUCAUUCUACGUAUGUAUCAAUAAUAUCAUUUGAUAAAUACAGCCAAGGAUUUACAAGAUGACUAGUGAUUUUUUUUUGACCAAAACCAAAUCCUUUAUUCCCACAGCUUUAUAAUUGUGUUCCAAGUAUGUGUCCUCAACACAACACUUAAAAAGAAACAUGCCAUUAGCAAACUAGAUCAGUUCACUGAUGGGUAUGACUCCUUGAUGUUCGGCUUAUAGUCACAGUAAAAGACAUUUUGAGUGAUUUUAUGUGCCUUUGUUUUGUGGAUAAUUAACUGAGAUCUCUUAAAGGAACCUGAUUUGCAGAAUGUGUUGAAAAUCCAGCCCUUUUAAUGUGUGUCAAGGUGAUUACCCCAAAACUGAGCCACUUAAAAUCACUAACACUUCUGAAUGUCUGUAUGAUAUUUUCAAGUGCCUAUGUGGCUUAGGAACAUGAACCCCAUUGAGGGGGAGGGCUUGUGCUCCCAAGUCGCCUAUGUGUUUUUGAGAAUCCCAGCCUUGUUCUAUAUCUCUUGCUGAAUACAUGGGAAGGUAGAUACUAACUGCAACUUUCAUGAUGACAUUGCUUUGGACUAUGAGAUUGUAACAUGCAGUGAUGGAAGGCGUAUUGGAACCUACUGUUCUCUCACUGUGUGGGCAAUUAUUCACCUACCACAACUCCUCCAUGCAUUGAAGAAAAGACUAGACCUCUCCGUGUGAGUCAAGCUGUAAUACAUAUGGUACAAAGCUGAGGUGAGAACUGUAACCCAAGAAGGAGGCUCUGAUGUUGACAUAUGUGACAGUAAAAGAAAAUAAUUGUUUAAACUUUGCCUUCUUACAUUUCACAAAUUCAUUUAUACAUUUCAUGUAUUUAAAAUGAGUGAAUUUAGUGCUCAUGAAAACGUGGCUUGAGGCAGAUAUAGUAAGUGUGGUAUGUUCAAACAAUUCCUAUUGAGAUCUGGUCAAUUCCUCUUAAUCCUGACUCUCAGGCACUGUGCUAUUUUUCUCUCGGACUCUGCCUGAACAAAGUUUACUGGGUCAUGCAAUGUGUUUGAUCUGCCCAAAUACAGGAUAGCCUAUCUAACUUCAUUGCAGGGGUGAUCUAAAUUGGGAUUGUAGUCAAGUCUCUAGGGUGACAGGCUAUUGCACCAAACCACUGUGCAACCAAACUGAUUUCCCCCAUUAAGCAAUCUCUGCUGAUGUGGUUAGGGGUUAGUGCCCACUCCUCAAAAGUACAACGUUCCAAAUAGUGCUUUACUUGUCUGAAGCCAUCCACCCGAGAAUUGUAACUCUUCACAACGCCCCCAUUUUAAUUGUGGGUGGAUGGGCAGGGGCUGGAAGGAAUCUUAUGUUAGAUCUGAACAUGCUGGAUUAGAUCAUUUCUGACCUGGUGCCUAUAUAUCCCUCCUGCUCCAAAAUGACAGUCAUUCCACCGUGGAGGCCAUGAAAUGCAAAGACAGUGAAGUGCGUUUACUGCCAAUGAUGGGGGGGGAAGCUAGCGUCUUGCUAGACCAGAAGUUAAUGUGUCCUAGGGUGACCACGUUUACCGCUUAAUAAAAUGAGGCCUUUAUGGUUUAGAGACUUUUGUGCACUCUCCUUUUGUGCAGCCCCAUAGGCUUGCACUGUGCUUCAAGGGUGAUGUCCUCAAUACUUGAGGCAUUGGUUCCAUGGUUUGGAAUGCAGCUGUGCCAUCUCAAGUGCCAGCUUGGGAACAUUCAUUAUACAACAGUGUCUGAUAUAAGAACAACAUACAAAAAUGGACAGUGCUCCUUUGAGUUUUGCCCUGGCUCUGCUGUGCAAGAUAGUGUGGGUACACACAUCUACCUGU